Molecule: ribosomal RNA, 253 nt
Filed under: uncultured bacterium
Lineage: Bacteria
Description: partial 16S ribosomal RNA
Rfam family: Bacterial small subunit ribosomal RNA
Source: RNAcentral
UACGUAGGGACCGAGCGUUGUCCGGAAUCAUUGGGCGUAAAGAGCGUGUAGGCGGCUUGCUAAGUCUUGCGUGAAAUCUCGGGGCUCAACCCCGAGCGGUCGUGAGAAACUGGCAGGCUAGAGUGCGGGAGAGGAGAGUGGAAUUCCUGGUGUAGCGGUGAAAUGCGCAGAUAUCAGGAAGAACACCCGUGGCGAAGGCGGCUCUCUGGAACGCAACUGACGCUGAGACGCGAAAGCGUGGGGAGCGAACAGG